AUACGUAGGGGGCGAGCGUUGUCCGGAAUGAUUGGGCGUAAAGGGCGCGUAGGCGGCGCGGUAAGUCUGGAGUGAAAGUCCUGUUUUUAAGAUGGGAAUUGCUUUGGAUACUGUCGGGCUUGAGUGCAGGAGAGGUAAGUGGAAUUCCCAGUGUAGCGGUGAAAUGCGUAGAGAUUGGGAGGAACACCAGUGGCGAAGGCGACUUACUGGACUGUAACUGACGCUGAGGCGCGAAAGCGUGGGGAGCGAACAGGAUUAGAUACCCUGGUAGUCCACGCGGUAAACGAUGAAUGCUAGGUGUUGCGGGUAUCGACCCCUGCAGUGCCGGAGUAAACACAAUAAGCAUUCCGCCUGGGGAGUACGGCCGCAAGGUUGAAACUCAAAGGAAUUGACGGGG
RNAcentral lists this ribosomal RNA (397 nucleotides) under uncultured bacterium. Its description in RNAcentral is "partial 16S ribosomal RNA". It matches the Rfam family "Bacterial small subunit ribosomal RNA", at positions 523 to 918 of the family's 1533-position model. The record is from RNAcentral.